RNAcentral lists this non-coding RNA (154 nucleotides) under Vagococcus teuberi. RNAcentral describes it as "Enterococcus sRNA 2410". It matches the Rfam family "Enterococcus sRNA 2410". Rfam says of the family: Produced as 2 transcripts on Northern blot. Expressed in mid, late exponential and early stationary phases of growth. Expression remained uniform under daptomycin exposure. The record is from Rfam by way of RNAcentral. Lineage: Bacteria; Bacillati; Bacillota; Bacilli; Lactobacillales; Enterococcaceae.
UUAGCUAUUUUAGAUAGGUUUGUGUUCAUCAAGGUAUGGAUACAAACAACCCAAGUUUGUAUCUAUGAUGGCUAAGGAAAUUUAGAUUGAUUUCAAAACCCACAUAGAUCUUAAGAAAAUCUAUAGUGGUGUUUUACAUAUACUGUAUAUUAAG